UUUUCAAGCACGACAUCUACACUGCAGUCGAACGAUGAAGCCCAGCUUGCUGGGUGGAUUAGUGGCGAACGGGUGAGUAACACGUGAGUAACCUGCCCUUAACUCUGGGAUAAGCCUGGGAAACUGGGUCUAAUACCGGAUAGGAGCGUCCACCGCAUGGUGGGUGUUGGAAAGAUUUAUCGGUUUUGGAUGGACUCGCGGCCUAUCAGCUUGUUGGUGAGGUAAUGGCUCACCAAGGCGACGACGGGUAGCCGGCCUGAGAGGGUGACCGGCCACACUGGGACUGAGACACGGCCCAGACUCCUACGGGAGGCAGCAGUGGGGAAUAUUGCACAAUGGGCGAAAGCCUGAUGCAGCGACGCCGCGUGAGGGAUGACGGCCUUCGGGUUGUAAACCUCUUUCAGUAGGGAAGAAGCGAAAGUGACGGUACCUGCAGAAGAAGCACCGGCUAACUACGUGCCAGCAGCCGCGGUAAUACGUAGGGUGCGAGCGUUAUCCGGAAUUAUUGGGCGUAAAGAGCUCGUAAGCGGUUUGUCGCGUCUGUCGUGAAAGUCCGGGGCUUAACCCCGGAUCUGCGGUGGGUACUGGCAGACUACAGUGCAGUAGGGGAGACUGGAAUUCCUGGUGUAGCGCUGGAAUGCGCAGAUAUCACGAGGAACACCGAUGGCGAAGGCAGGUCUCUGGGCUGUAACUGACGCUGAAGAGCGAAAGCAUGGUGAGCGAACAUCAUUAAAUACCCUGGGAGUCCAUGCCGUACACUUUGGGCACUAGGUUGUGGGGACAUUCCACGGUUUCCCCGCCCAGCUUAACACAUAAUUGCCCCGCCUGGGAAUAAGGCCCCAGGCUAAAACCA
RNAcentral lists this ribosomal RNA (853 nucleotides) under Micrococcus sp. g5-1. RNAcentral describes it as "bacterial SSU rRNA". It matches the Rfam family "Bacterial small subunit ribosomal RNA", at positions 36 to 902 of the family's 1533-position model. Lineage: Bacteria; Bacillati; Actinomycetota; Actinomycetes; Micrococcales; Micrococcaceae. The record is from RNAcentral.